This 111-nucleotide microRNA precursor is filed under the name Equus caballus (horse). Its description in RNAcentral is "microRNA eca-mir-8928 precursor". Lineage: Eukaryota; Metazoa; Chordata; Mammalia; Perissodactyla; Equidae. The record is from miRBase by way of RNAcentral.
CGAGCGUGCGCGUGGUUCUCCCGUCGCGUGCUGGGGUGGGGAGAGAGGCCCGGCCUGUCCGGGCUCCGCCCCGCCGCGAGCGGCUGACCUAUCCGCUCAGUUCUCAUCCUG